UGGCUAUGAUGAUAUUAUGCUUCGGUCCGUGUUUCUGAAUCCUGAUCGGUAUAGAAGUUCUGAGCAA
Molecule: small nucleolar RNA, 67 nt
Organism: Nematolebias whitei (Rio pearlfish)
Lineage: Eukaryota; Metazoa; Chordata; Actinopteri; Cyprinodontiformes; Rivulidae
Product: small nucleolar RNA SNORD18
Exons: 1
Source: RefSeq, a predicted model, not a curated record